Molecule: long non-coding RNA, 911 nt
Organism: Salvia miltiorrhiza (redroot sage)
Lineage: Eukaryota; Viridiplantae; Streptophyta; Magnoliopsida; Lamiales; Lamiaceae
Exons: 3
Source: RefSeq, a predicted model, not a curated record
UUUUUUCGUGUGUUGUUGAUUUCAAUAAAUAUAUAUUUUUAUUUUCAUUUCAAAGUAUGAAAAUCAAAGUGCAUAUUUAUUUCGAAUACGCGUUUGUUUUAGUUCGGGUUUGAACGAUUACGGGCCCGUAUAGAGGGCCAAAGGUGGGCCGAUUUUUAGAGAGCCUUGGGCCGAUUUUAAGGCCCUAUUUUAGAGCCCAAAUGCAGCCCAUUUCAGCCCCCAAAGCCCACUUACACAUCAGCCACCCUUUCAAAUUCAAAGGGGGACAAGGGUGAUCUUUACAGGCAUGGGGAACUACCAAAGUACAUGGGAAGUGCAAAAGUCUUGGUGGCAGCCACCCUACCCUCCCCUAGGCCUCAUUUUCGUGCUCCCCUCUCCCUAGAGCCAAGAGUUGGCUGAUGCAACUUCCUCCAUACUCUUUAACUCUCUCUACAAAGCCUAGUCCUCACUCCACAUCCACCCCUCUCCAUUUUCGUCCCUCCUUCCUUCCCCCACUCUCACAACUUUUCUCCCACCAUUAUCACACUCCAUAGAAGCCCUUGAAGCCCCAAGAGAAGUAUCAAAGCAAGGGAGAGCGUGGAAAAACUAGGGCGUAAAGUUGGAGUGAAGAUUGUGCUUCGAGGGAAUUGGUUCACAGGACGGUACUACAGCUUAAGAUCACCUCUCUUCCAUACCGAGGAUCAGGUUGAGCAGUGGCUGAUGAAGAUGAAGUGACGAGUGGAGCUUUUGUCAUAAGUUGAUUGAAUAAACUCUUGGAUACAUGUCUUCAUACAUGUAGUCAGAUUAUUAUUUCCGCUGCGUAUUCUUAAGUAAUAAGCCUCUUGAUUUAAGUUCGGAUUCAUCCGAACUUACUAGUAUUUUAAUCUUUGUAGCUAAACAUAAGUUAUUUUUAAAUGCUCCUUCACUGUCAA